UAAUUCCGUGCCAGCAGCCGCGGUAAUACGGAAGGUGCAAGCGUUAUCCGGUUUUAUUGGGUUUAAAGGGUGCGUAGGCGGCUUAUUAAGUCAGUUGUGAAAUCCUAGUGCUUAACGCUAGAACUGCGAUUGAUACUAUUAGGCUUGAGUUAAGAAGAGGUAGGCAGAAUUUAUGGUGUAGUAGUGAAAUGCUUAGAUAUCAUAAGGAAUACCAAUAGCGUAGGCAGCUUACUGGUCUUUAACUGACGCUGAGGCACGAAAGCGUGGGGAGCAAACAGGAUUAGAUACCCUGGUAGUCCACGCCGUAAACGAUGAUCACUCGAUAUACAUGAUGCGUCAUGUGUGUCUAAGCGAAAGCAUUAAGUGAUCCACCUGGGGAGUAUACUCGCAAGGGUGAAACUCAAAGGAAUUGACGGGGGUCCGCACAAGCGGUGGAGUAUGUGGUUUAAUUCGAUAAUACGCGAGGAACCUUACCUGGGCUAGAAUGUAUUUUGCUACCUUGAGAAAUUAAGGGUUCCUUCGGGACGGAAUACAAGGUGCUGCAUGGCUGUCGUCAGCUCGUGCCGUGAGGUGUUGGGUUAAGUCCUAUAACGAGCGAAACCCUUUUACUUAAUUGCCAGCACAUAAUGGUGGGGACUUUAAGUAGACUGCCCGUGUAAGCGGGAGGAAGGAGAGGACGAGGUCAAGUCAUCAUGGCCUUUAUGCCCAGGGCUACACACGUACUACAAUGGCAUGUACAAAGGGAAGCUACUUGGUAACAAGAUGCAAAUCUCAAAAGCAUGUCUCAGUUCGGAUUGGGGUCUGCAAUUCGACCUCAUGAAGUUGGAAUCGCUAGUAAUCGCGUAUCAGCAAUGACGCGGUGAAUACGUUCUCGGACCUUGUACACACCGCCCAUCAAGCCAUGGGAGUUGGUAGAGCUUGAAGACAGUG
RNAcentral lists this ribosomal RNA (930 nucleotides) under uncultured Candidatus Cardinium sp. RNAcentral describes it as "bacterial SSU rRNA". It matches the Rfam family "Bacterial small subunit ribosomal RNA", at positions 498 to 1432 of the family's 1533-position model. Lineage: Bacteria; Pseudomonadati; Bacteroidota; Cytophagia; Cytophagales; Amoebophilaceae. The record is from RNAcentral.